GCUCCCGUAGUUCAACGGAUAGAAUAAGGGCUUGCGGAGCCUUUGAUGGCAGUUCAAUUCUGCCCGGGAGUACAA
RNAcentral lists this transfer RNA (75 nucleotides) under Candidatus Roizmanbacteria bacterium RIFCSPHIGHO2_02_FULL_37_15. RNAcentral's name for it is "tRNA-Arg". It matches the Rfam family "tRNA". From Rfam's summary of the family: Transfer RNA (tRNA) molecules are approximately 80 nucleotides in length. Their secondary structure includes four short double-helical elements and three loops (D, anti-codon, and T loops). RNAcentral also lists the same sequence under 3 other names. The record is from RNAcentral. Lineage: Bacteria; Candidatus Roizmaniibacteriota.